AUAAUUUUAUCAUAUAGUUUGUUUUUGUUUUUUUUUUGUUUUUAGAAAGAGUCCCCCACUCCGACUCACACUCCUACACAGUCGGUGGCGGUAAUGCGCCCUCACGUUGGUGCCACCCGCCAUUUAAAACUCCAGCAAGAAGAAGAAGUGACCCGGAAGUAAACAGAAGGUUAGCAGCGCUAGCAGCGUUAGCUGCGUUAGCUUGUAUUCGGAGGACGGCGGGGUUCUGUUCGGACGUUCUGAGGUUUUUGGACAGAAGCAUGUCUUCCCUUCAGUCUCUGAGAGAGUUGAUCAGCGAGCGACUAGCUGCUGCUGCUGAAGAAAUCUGCAGACUCUGUGAAUGAACCAUCGUCCAGUACGAGGAGGAGCUCUGUCGUCAGCGCAGACUGCUGGAUAUCUGCUGGAAACCACAGCUUCAGCUCCACCACAUCGGUAUGCAGCUGCUUCUGGGGUUGACUGUAUCUGAGCUUUGGACCGAGAGGCUCCGCCCCCUUGGGGAAAUCCAUAGACUUUUAACGUAGCCUCCUAGUUUUGUUGCUUAAAGUUAGCUAACGUCACACCCCAAAGCUAACAUUAGCAUAGCAUAAAAAUCACUGUAAUAUCUUUUCUAUCCAGUUGUACAGUUCUGAUCCAGAUUCCAGUUCUGAUCCAGAUUCCAGUUCUGAUCCAGAUUCCAGUUCUGAUCCAGAUUCCAGUUCUGAUCCAGAUUCCAGCUCAGACAAAGAGGAAAACAAAGACGUUCAUGGAUCUAUUUGUCUGUUAGUGGUUGCAUCAGAAUGGGGCGGAGCAUGGAGCUUCUGGUUCUGCCCAUUUUUAUCUGAUUCAGAUCCAACAAGAUUUGAAUAAAGAAACUCAGAAAUGUAGUUUAAAUCUUAAAUACUUUAAUGUCUGUCCUCCAUCAGACUAAAUCUGUCAUUGCAGAAAAUAAAAGUAUCUGCAAACAAAAACCAAAAUCUACAAGAUAAAAGAAAUGAUGCUGCAAAUGAAAGAAAUGCUGCAAACAGAGAAGUCUCAACGAUGAAGAGGAUUAUGGGAGAUGUUGUUACCGGAGCACCUCUAUAAGAAGAGGAAAGAACAGGAGAACGAGUUGGAAACAGAUGGAGAUGUGAAUGUCUCUUCACACAACAUAAACACCAGAGGGAUAGGCUCCUCCCCCGUGGUCACUUGACCUGUGAGGCGUUUGAAACAGUCAGAACUGGAGGAUGAAGCUGCUGCACUUAAAGCAGAACAGAUCCAUGAAUGUGUUGAUUUGGAGACGGCGUGUUGGUAGACGCUAAUGCUGCUAAUGAUGCUAAUGCUAACUAGCUUGUGACGGGUGUAAAGUUUGUCUUUACAACACGGUGGAUUGAAUCCACUGUGUUUUAGCAGCAUGUUUGUAGCAUUACAGAACCAGUGUUUCACUGACACUGUAACCUGUCAGGUGAUGGGUUGAAGGCUCCGCCCCCUUAAAGGUGCAGAGGUUACAUAAUCACAGUAAAGCAGAACAUAAACUGGGUUUUGUUAUGGUUUAAUAUAACAUGUGAUCAGCUGGAGGCAGAGUUAGAACAUUUGGAGUAAAUCUGUGUUUUCUCUGCAGGUUAAACCCAGAAAAACAUCAGAAUUUAUUUCUAGAAUUGAAGCUUUAUUUUGAAAUGAACUGAUCCAACAUCUUAGUGUUCUGUUUCAUUCAGGCUCUAUUUUAAACCUUUUGCUUUAAUUAGCUGUUAAGUUUGUAAUAUUUAUGAUGCUUUUACUUUGUUACUUGAAUAAAACCAAACAAACCCAGAUGCAUCAUGGUCCUUCUGUUGUAUUUAAAGUGUGACAGGAGAUAAAUAUUUAAACCUCGAUAACCUUCUGAUGAAGACACAUUUCUGUAAUGAGUGUUCACAUUUCUACAAAUACAGUUAUUGGUUUAUAUCGUUAUAGAUCGUUCUCCCUCAAUAUGAAAUAAACUAUAUUGUGAUGUUAGAAAUUCUCUUUCAGCAGCUCUAUUUCUAGUGUUUCUGUUGUUACAUGUAGAGUUUGUCUUUAGUUUGCUGAGUUUCUUGUUUGUCUCAUUUUUACCAUAAAAACUGUUAAAAACAACAAAAACAUCAUUUUCAUCAGAGUGGAUCAGAAUGAAGCUGAUUGUUUGUAAAGUUGCUUUUCAGUACAAAGCUGCUGUUGUCAGAAUCUGCUGGAAGAGCUGAUCAGGAUAAGGGAUCAGGAUCAGGGAUCAGGAUCAGGAUCAGGUUUGUUUAUUUAAUGACUUCAUCCAGAUUAUUUAAUGACUUCAUCCAGAUUAUUUAAUCCAUCCAGAUUAUUUAAUGACUUCAUCC
Molecule: long non-coding RNA, 2297 nt
Filed under: Oryzias javanicus (javanese ricefish)
Lineage: Eukaryota; Metazoa; Chordata; Actinopteri; Beloniformes; Adrianichthyidae
Description: lncRNA (ENSOJAG00000008046.1)
Source: RNAcentral